This 253-nucleotide ribosomal RNA is filed under the name uncultured bacterium. Its description in RNAcentral is "partial 16S ribosomal RNA". It matches the Rfam family "Bacterial small subunit ribosomal RNA", at positions 524 to 776 of the family's 1533-position model. The record is from RNAcentral.
UACGUAGGGAGCAAGCGUUGUCCGGAAUUACUGGGCGUAAAGGGUGCGUAGGCGGCUAAGUAAGUCAUAUGUGAAAGGCAGAGGCUCAACCUCUGGAUUGCAUAAGAAACUACUUAGCUUGAGUGUGAGAGAGGCAAGUGGAAUUCCUAGUGUAGCGGUGAAAUGCGUAGAUAUUAGGAAGAACACCAGUGGCGAAGGCGACUUGCUGGAUCAUAACUGACGCUGAGGCACGAAAGCGUGGGGAGCAAACAGG